Molecule: non-coding RNA, 32 nt
Filed under: unclassified sequences
Description: DUF805b RNA
Rfam family: DUF805b RNA
About the family: Bacteroidetes, Chlorobi (1 example), Proteobacteria. Lineage (Flavobacteria)
Source: RNAcentral
AAAAGGGCAGCCGAAAACUUAUAGAGUAGGCA